This 497-nucleotide ribosomal RNA is filed under the name uncultured bacterium. RNAcentral describes it as "partial 16S ribosomal RNA". It matches the Rfam family "Bacterial small subunit ribosomal RNA", at positions 28 to 507 of the family's 1533-position model. The record is from RNAcentral.
GAUGAACGCUGGCGGCGUGCCUAAUACAUGCAAGUCGAGCGAACAGACGAGGAGCUUGCUCCUCUGACGUUAGCGGCGGACGGGUGAGUAACACGUGGAUAACCUACCUAUAAGACUGGGAUAACUUCGGGAAACCGGAGCUAAUACCGGAUAAUAUAUUGAACCGCAUGGUUCAAUAGUGAAAGACGGUUUUGCUGUCACUUAUAGAUGGAUCCGCGCCGCAUUAGCUAGUUGGUAAGGUAACGGCUUACCAAGGCAACGAUGCGUAGCCGACCUGAGAGGGUGAUAGGCCACACUGGAACUGAGACACGGACCAGACUCCUACGGGAGGCAGCAGUAGGGAAUCGUCCGCAAUGGGCGAAAGCUUGACGGAGCAACGCCGCGUGAGUGAUGAAGGUCUUCGGAUCGUAAAACUCUGUUAUUAGGGAAGAACAAAUGUGUAAGUAACUAUGCACGUCUUGACGGUACCUAAUCAGAAAGCCACGGCUAACUACGUG